Molecule: ribosomal RNA, 497 nt
Filed under: uncultured bacterium
Lineage: Bacteria
Description: partial 16S ribosomal RNA
Rfam family: Bacterial small subunit ribosomal RNA
Source: RNAcentral
GACGAACGCUGGCGGCGUGCCUAAUACAUGCAAGUUGAGCGCUGAAGGUUGGUACUUGUACCAACUGGAUGAGCAGCGAACGGGUGAGUAACGCGUGGGGAAUCUGCCUUUGAGCGGGGGACAACAUUUGGAAACGAAUGCUAAUACCGCAUAAAAACUUUAAACACAAGUUUUAAGUUUGAAAGAUGCAAUUGCAUCACUCAAAGAUGAUCCCGCGUUGUAUUAGCUAGUUGGUGAGGUAAAGGCUCACCAAGGCGAUGAUACAUAGCCGACCUGAGAGGGUGAUCGGCCACAUUGGGACUGAGACACGGCCCAAAAUCCUACGGGAGGCAGCAGUAGGGAAUCUUUGGCAAUGGACGAAAGUCUUACCGAGCAACGCCGCGUGAGGGAAGAAGGUUUUCGGAUCGUAAAACUCUGUUGGUAGAGAAGAACGGUGGUGAGAGUGGAAAGCUCAUCAAGUGACGGUAACUACCCAGAAAGGGACAGCUAACUACGUG